This 478-nucleotide ribosomal RNA is filed under the name uncultured bacterium. Its description in RNAcentral is "partial 16S ribosomal RNA". It matches the Rfam family "Bacterial small subunit ribosomal RNA", at positions 28 to 523 of the family's 1533-position model. The record is from RNAcentral.
GACGAACGCUGGCGGCGUGCUUAACACAUGCAAGUCGAACGAUGAAGCUGGAGCUUGCUCCGGCGGAUUAGUGGCGAACGGGUGAGUAACACGUGAGCAAUCUGCCCUUGACUCUGGGAUAACUGCGGGAAACUGUAGCUAAUACCGGAUACGAGGCUCGAAGGCAUCUUCGGGUCUGGAAAGAAUUUCGGUCAAGGAUGAGCUCGCGGCCUAUCAGCUUGUUGGUGAGGUAAUGGCUCACCAAGGCGACGACGGGUAGCCGGCCUGAGAGGGUGACCGGCCACACUGGGACUGAGACACGGCCCAGACUCCUACGGGAGGCAGCAGUGGGGAAUAUUGCACAAUGGGCGAAAGCCUGAUGCGGCAACGCCGCGUGAGGGAUGAAGGCCUUCGGGUUGUAAAGCUCUAUCAGCAGGGAAGAAGAUGACGGUACCUGCACAAGAAGCCCCGGCUAACUACGUGCCAGCCGCCGCGGUAA